CCUACGGGAGGCUGCAGUGAGGAAUAUUGGUCAAUGGACGAGAGUCUGAACCAGCCAAGUAGCGUGAAGGAUGACUGCCCUAUGGGUUGUAAACUUCUUUUAUAUGGGAAUAAAAUGUUCCACGUGUGGGAUUUUGUAUGUACCAUAUGAAUAAGGAUCGGCUAACUCCGUGCCAGCAGCCGCGGUAAUACGGAGGAUCCGAGCGUUAUCCGGAUUUAUUGGGUUUAAAGGGAGCGUAGGUGGAUUGUUAAGUCAGUUGUGAAAGUUUGCGGCUCAACCGUAAAAUUGCAGUUGAAACUGGCAGUCUUGAGUACAGUAGAGGUGGGCGGAAUUCGUGGUGUAGCGGUGAAAGUCUUAGAUAUCACGAAGAACUCCGAUUGCGAAGGCAGCUCACUGGACUGCAACUGACACUGAGGCUCGAAAGUGUGGGUAUCAAACAGGAUUAGAUACCCUUGUAGUC
RNAcentral lists this ribosomal RNA (460 nucleotides) under uncultured bacterium. Its description in RNAcentral is "partial 16S ribosomal RNA". It matches the Rfam family "Bacterial small subunit ribosomal RNA", at positions 338 to 795 of the family's 1533-position model. The record is from RNAcentral.